This 1018-nucleotide long non-coding RNA is filed under the name Carica papaya (papaya). Its description in RNAcentral is "long non-coding RNA (CPAP_LNC005016)". Lineage: Eukaryota; Viridiplantae; Streptophyta; Magnoliopsida; Brassicales; Caricaceae. The record is from RNAcentral.
CAUGCGUGCCGUAUGCGUGUUUAGGAGGCUGCCUCUCCACUAUGGACAUACCAGACUAGUCUCGAGCACCCACAUGCAUGUCUGUCUCGGGCUCUCUCGGCGCGCAUGUGCACAAAACAAAAUCUGUACACUAGUGCACAGCUGCUAUAUGCACAAAUCAUGCCAUGGGGGCCCUGUCUCAGCACUUAAGCAUGCUUAAAAAGUGUCCUCCAUACAUUCGACACACGGCAUAGUCGUUAGCUACGACCUAUCCUAGCACAUGAGUGCCUCGUGAUAGUGGGCUAAAGUAAAUGGCAAUUCUCGUUGAUAUCUAAACUCUUUUCCUCAUCCUAGCCAUCCUGAAACUGAUUUAAAGCAAAAAAAUCAAUAUUUAAUCAUAUUUCAAACAGACCUGAUAGUAGAAAGUAAAUUAAGUAACCGAUUAAAAUCAUCUCAAUGCACACACACCUUAUAGAUGCACUUGCAUGCAAUUCAAAAAUUUUAGUGAUCUAAAAGCCAUCUAAAAAUUUGUUAAAAUCAUUGAAACAAUACUCCAUUCUUUACCUAAAGUCGAUUGUACUUUAGAUUCCAAAAAAGAAGUGAAAACCUUUUGGGAUCAAAGGAGGAAACAGUUGCAUUAGAGGGAAAUCGGGCUUUGGAAAAUAGCGUACAAGGUCCUCAUUCUUUGAAGAAGACUGCACACAAUUACUUUACGAGAAGGUUUUUGCAUGAUUUUCAGAGAAUGAAAUGUGCUUACCUCUCAAAGAAGAAAGGACAGACCUAGCAGUAAGUUUGCACUAGCUGCAGCAGCAAAAGAGGAUGAAAUAUCAGCAACCUCACAGCCUACUCUCAACUCUCUCUCGAGUUUUCUUUUUCUGAAGAAAUGAAGAAAAGUAAGGAAAAGGAAGGCUCUUUAAAUAGAAGAGGAAGGUGCAUCUAGCAACAUUGGAUCACAUUCAAGUAGAGAUAACUGUCAAUCAGGUGAGCAGCCAACUAGGGAAAGCUUGGUUCUGGUCGAGAUGCUCUAAUAGACAGAAAG